UACGUAGGGUGCGAGCGUUAAUCGGAAUUACUGGGUGUAAAGGGUUCGUAGGCGGUGCGGCAAGUCGGGAGUGAAAUCUCUGGGCUCAACCCAGAGGCUGCUUCCGAAACUGCUGUGCUUGAGUGUGGGAGAGGCGCGUGGAAUUGCAGGUGUAGCGGUGAAAUGCGUAGAUAUCUGCAGGAACACCCGUGGCGAAAGCGGCGCGCUGGACCACUACUGACGCUGAAGAACGAAAGCUAGGGGAGCAAACAGG
This 253-nucleotide ribosomal RNA is filed under the name uncultured bacterium. RNAcentral's name for it is "partial 16S ribosomal RNA". It matches the Rfam family "Bacterial small subunit ribosomal RNA", at positions 524 to 776 of the family's 1533-position model. The record is from RNAcentral.